Molecule: ribosomal RNA, 407 nt
Filed under: uncultured bacterium
Lineage: Bacteria
Description: partial 16S ribosomal RNA
Rfam family: Bacterial small subunit ribosomal RNA
Source: RNAcentral
AUCGAACGCUAGCGGGAUGCCUUACACAUGCAAGUCGAACGGAGUGGCGAACGGGUGAGUAAUGUAUCGGAACGUGCCCAGUAGCGGGGGAUAACUACGCGAAAGCGUAGCUAAUAACGCAUACUAUUGGAGCGGCCGUUAUCGGAUUAGCUAGUUGGGGGGGUAAAGGCUCACCAAGGCGACGAUCCGUAGCUGGUUUGAGGGGACGACCAGCCACAUUGGGACGGAGACACGGCCCAGACGCCGACGGAGGGCAGCAGUGGGGAAUUUUGGACAAGGGGGGAAACCCUGAUCCAGCCAUCCCGCGUGUGCGAUGAAGGCCUUCGGGUUGUAAAGCACUUUUGGCAGGAAAGCGGUACCUGCAGAAUAAGCACCGGCUAACUACGUGCCAGCCGCCGCGGUAAUAC